GUAAUGACACCAAAAGAGAGACAUGACAAGAGGAAGAGGAACUUUUCCGCCAAAGCGGUGUCUCCCGUUACUUUUGGGGUAAAGGAAUUAUUGCCUGCUACAGACUGUGAGGAGAUCUGUAAACUUCUCAAAGAGAAAUACAAUGGUGAUGAAGUGUUAAAUUUGGGUGGGACUAUCAUGACGGGGGCUCAGCUGCUGAAGUGUAUAGAGGAUCCUAAGAGUGCCCCGAAUCUUCUGGGUGUUUUUGUUGAAUGCCUCAAGCAGGAUGAUAACAAGAACGGCAAUAAUAAUAAAAGAAUAAUUAUCCAACCACAACAUCAGUUGGAUGAAGAAUUUGUGCAAGUGAUUAAGAAAGAGAUCGGGAGCAGCAAAAAAGAUGGAGGGUAGAGCAGAGAUUCCUAUUUUGUGCUAUCACUGAAGAAGAUCCUAACACUCAAAAACAAGAAGGCAUAAUUCUUUUCCUCGAUAGUGAGCAAAAAACCCAGAUCAAGAAACUCGAGGAUAGUUGUUAUGCAGCAGAAAAGGUUUAUAAUAUGGAAACAGAUUACAAACUGGGCAAAGGUACUGAAGAUGAUGUUUUUGACGAUGAGGUUGAUAAUAACAUUGGACACCUUGUAGAGGUCGAUGUAAACAGUAAAGAAAAGGGUAGUGAGGUUGAAAAAUUUGAAGGCUUAAAACAGUAGCUGCAGAAUCUUCAUUGCUUCCAGAACCAAUAUAAAAAGGCAUUUGAAUUUAUACCGGAGAGGAAAGCUGCAAUUCUGAAAGAGUUGAAGGAGUUGCUAGAGGAGUACAACUUGCCCUAUGAGGUUCUUGAAAAAGUGACAUCCCAUGC
Molecule: long non-coding RNA, 832 nt
Organism: Triticum aestivum (bread wheat)
Lineage: Eukaryota; Viridiplantae; Streptophyta; Magnoliopsida; Poales; Poaceae
Exons: 6
Source: RefSeq, a predicted model, not a curated record